GAUGAACGCUGGCGGCGUGCCUAAUACAUGCAAGUCGAGCGAACGGACGAGAAGCUUGCUUCUCUGAUGUUAGCGGCGGACGGGUGAGUAACACGUGGAUAACCUACCUAUAAGACUGGGAUAACUUCGGGAAACCGGAGCUAAUACCGGAUAAUAUUUUGAACCGCAUGGUUCAAAGGUGAAAGACGGUCUUGCUGUCACUUAUAGAUGGAUCCGCGCUGCAUUAGCUAGUUGGUAAGGUAACGGCUUACCAAGGCAACGAUGCAUAGCCGACCUGAGAGGGUGAUCGGCCACACUGGAACUGAGACACGGUCCAGACUCCUACGGGAGGCAGCAGUAGGGAAUCUUCCGCAAUGGGCGAAAGCCUGACGGAGCAACGCCGCGUGAGUGAUGAAGGUCCUCGGAUCGUAAAACUCUGUUAUUAGGGAAGAACAUAUGUGUAAGUAACUGUGCACAUCUUGACGGUACCUAAUCAGAAAGCCACGGCUAACUACGU
This 496-nucleotide ribosomal RNA is filed under the name uncultured bacterium. RNAcentral describes it as "partial 16S ribosomal RNA". It matches the Rfam family "Bacterial small subunit ribosomal RNA", at positions 28 to 506 of the family's 1533-position model. The record is from RNAcentral.